UACGGAGGUGGCAAGCGUUGUCCGGAAUUACUGGGCGUAAAGGGCGUCUAGGCGGCCUCUCAAGUCUUGUGUGAAAUCUCCCGGCUCAACUGGGAGGGUGCAUGAGAAACUGAAAGGCUAGAGACUCGAAGGGGGAUGCGGAAUUUCCGGUGGAGCGGUGAAAUGCGUUGAUAUCGGAAGGAACACCUGAGGCGAAGGCGGCAUCCUGGUCGGGAACUGACGCUGAGGCGCGAAAGCGUGGGGAGCAAACAGG
Molecule: unclassified non-coding RNA, 253 nt
Filed under: uncultured bacterium
Lineage: Bacteria
Description: contains 16S-23S intergenic spacer region
Rfam family: Bacterial small subunit ribosomal RNA
Source: RNAcentral